Molecule: transfer RNA, 61 nt
Filed under: Amphitetranychus viennensis (hawthorn spider mite)
Lineage: Eukaryota; Metazoa; Arthropoda; Arachnida; Trombidiformes; Tetranychidae
Description: tRNA-Asn
Source: RNAcentral
UUAAAAGAAGCUUUAAGCAUUUUGUUGUUAACAAAAAGUCGAAAAUAUUUUUCCUUUUAAA